RNAcentral lists this ribosomal RNA (242 nucleotides) under uncultured bacterium. RNAcentral's name for it is "partial 16S ribosomal RNA". It matches the Rfam family "Bacterial small subunit ribosomal RNA", at positions 97 to 339 of the family's 1533-position model. The record is from RNAcentral.
GGCGAACGGGUGAGGAUCACGUGAGAAACCUGCCCCAGACUUUGGGAUAACAGUUGGAAACGACUGCUAAUACCGAAUGACGUCGGAGAACCGCAUGGUCCACUGACGAAAGGGAUUCCGGUUUGGGAGGGUCUCGCGGCCUAUCAGCUUGUUGGUGAGGUAACGGCUCACCAAGGCUACGACGGGUAGCUGGUCUGAGAGGAUGAUCAGUCACACUGGGACUGAGACACGGCCCAAACUCC